CACGCCAGAGUGUGUCCACUCAGAUAAAAUCCAUCUCACCCUUUUGUGCACCACCGCGCUGGGCGCCCUUCGGGAUCAAACCGAUCCAGGAGGGGGCUUGCGUUCUCACACAAACCCCUUUUUAAAAAGUUGUAAAAUGACCCCAUUUUUGCCAUUACACGCAAUCAAUACAACUUUCAACAACGGAUCUCUUGGCUCUCGCAUCUAUCAAAAACGCAACGAAAUGCGAUACGUAAUGUGAAUUGCGGAAUUCAGUGAAUCAUCGAAUCUUUGAACGCACCUUGCGCCCCUUGGUAUUCCGAGGGGCACACCCGUUUGAGUGUCUUGAAAGUCUCAACCUCCUCGGUUUCUUCUGGACACCGAAGGAGGCUUGGACUUUGGAGGCCUUUGCUGGCGUCUCUCGCCAGCUCCUCUCAAAUGAAUUAGCGGGGUCCUCUUUGCCGAUCCUCGACAUGUGAUAAGAUGUUUCCAUGUCUUGGUUUCUGGGUCUGUUGCUUUUGGGACCCGCUUCUAACCGUCUCAACCCGAGACAAUGUAUGAGCGGGUCUCCCUUCUCGGGAA
RNAcentral lists this unclassified non-coding RNA (561 nucleotides) under uncultured Lactarius. RNAcentral's name for it is "sequence contains ITS1, 5.8S rRNA gene and ITS2". The stretch from base 172 to 325 matches the Rfam family "5.8S ribosomal RNA". Lineage: Eukaryota; Fungi; Basidiomycota; Agaricomycetes; Russulales; Russulaceae. The record is from RNAcentral.